RNAcentral lists this ribosomal RNA (441 nucleotides) under uncultured bacterium. Its description in RNAcentral is "bacterial SSU rRNA". It matches the Rfam family "Bacterial small subunit ribosomal RNA", at positions 338 to 795 of the family's 1533-position model. The record is from RNAcentral.
CCUACGGGUGGCUGCAGUGGGGAAUUUUGGGCAAUGGGCGAAAGCCUGACCCAGCAAUGCCGCGUGCGGGAUGAAGGUCUUCGGAUCGUAAACCGCUGUCGCCCGGGACGAAAUAUGACGGUACCGGGGGAGGAAGCCACGGCUAACUACGUGCCAGCAGCCGCGGUAAUACGUAGGUGGCGAGCGUUGUUCGGAUUCAUUGGGCGUAAAGGGUCCGCAGGGGGUAGAUUAAGUCUGAUGUGAAAUCCCUGAGCUUAACUCAGGAACUGCAUUGGAGACUGGUCUACUAGAGUAUCGGAGAGGAGAUUGGAAUUCCAGGUGUAGCGGUGGAAUGCGUAGAUAUCUGGAAGAACACCGAAAGCGAAGGCAGAUCUCUGGACGAUUACUGACCCUCAGGCACGAAAGCGUGGGGAGCAAACAGGAUUAGAUACCCCUGUAGUC